This 610-nucleotide transfer RNA is filed under the name uncultured cyanobacterium. Its description in RNAcentral is "partial miscellaneous RNA". The stretch from base 245 to 317 matches the Rfam family "tRNA". Lineage: Bacteria; Bacillati; Cyanobacteriota. The record is from RNAcentral.
CAGGGAGACAAAAAAUUAAUUGUGAUGUCUAAGUUUUUCUCUUAGGCCGCAAUUCUGUCACCUUAGGUCGAUCGGUACCUCACAUCAAUUGAUUAAUUUUAUUUUUAAGAAAUUGAUUUCAGUUCCUGAGCUUGUCUAGGUCACACCCAUCAUUUUCUCCUGGGCCAUUAGCUCAGGUGGUUAGAGCGCACCCCUGAUAAGGGUGAGGUCCCUGGUUCAAGUCCAGGAUGGCCCAUUCGUUGUUGGGGGUAUAGCUCAGUUGGUAGAGCGCCUGCUUUGCAAGCAGGAUGUCAGCGGUUCGAGUCCGCUUACCUCCACUGAAAACUACCUUAAAUAAUGCAAAUCUGGAGAAAAUUUUAAUUGUGAUUUAGAUCUUGUCUAUUUGAAAAGAACCUAGCUUCUUGUCAUCUUUUAACAGUUGAUAUGAUGCUGGGCUCACCUGGAUUUCCCAAGUGAUUUCAGUAGAACCUUGACAACUGCAUAGAUAAAAAGAAUAAAGCAUCUCAUGGAUGCAUAAUUCUUGAGUUAAAUCUUUUUAGAUUUUACUUAGGAAUUCAUGUUUAAUUCUUGAGUAAAAGCCGAGCACAAUUAAAUUUGUGAUUGUAUUUAA